CCUACGGGUGGCAGCAGUGGGGAAUAUUGCACAAUGGGGGAAACCCUGAUGCAGCGACGCCGCGUGAGUGAAGAAGUAUUUCGGGAUGUAAAGCUCUAUCAGCAGGGAAGAAAAUGACGGUACCUGAUUAUGAAGCCCCGGCUAACUACGUGCCAGCAGCCGCGGUAAUACGUAGGGGGCAAGCGUUAUCCGGAUUUACUGGGUGUAAAGGGAGCGUAGACGGCAGCACAAGUCAGGAGUGAAAUGUCGGGGCUUAACCCCGGAACUGCUUUGGAAACUGGGCAGCUAGAGUGCAGGAGAGGUAAGUGGAAUUCCUGGUGUAGCGGUGAAAUGCGUAGAUAUUAGGAAGAACACCGGUGGCGAAGGCGGCUUACUGGACUGUAACUGACGUUGAGGCUCGAAAGCGUGGGGAGCAAACAGGAUUAGAUACCCCAGUAGUC
RNAcentral lists this ribosomal RNA (440 nucleotides) under uncultured bacterium. RNAcentral describes it as "partial 16S ribosomal RNA". It matches the Rfam family "Bacterial small subunit ribosomal RNA", at positions 338 to 795 of the family's 1533-position model. The record is from RNAcentral.